CCUACGGGGGGCAGCAGUGGGGAAUAUUGGACAAUGGGCGCAAGCCUGAUCCAGCAAUGCCGCGUGUGUGAAGAAGGCCUUCGGGUUGUAAAGCACUUUUGUUAGGGAGGAAAGUCUGGUAGCUAAUAACUGCUAGAUCUGACGUUACCUAAAGAAUCAGCACCGGCUAACUCUGUGCCAGCAGCCGCGGUAAUACAGAGGGUGCAAGCGUUAAUCGGAAUUACUGGGCGUAAAGGGUCUGUAGGCGGAUUAUUAAGUCGGAUGUGAAAUCCCCGGGCUCAACCUGGGAACGGCAUUCGAUACUGGUAGUCUAGAGUGUGCAAGAGGAUGGGGGAAUUCCUGGUGUAGCAGUGAAAUGCGUAGAGAUCAGGAGGAACAUCAAUGGCGAAGGCACCUUUCUGGGGCAACACUGACGCUGAGAGACGAAAGCGUGGGGAGCAAACAGGAUUAGAUACCCGAGUAGUC
This 465-nucleotide ribosomal RNA is filed under the name uncultured Thiovirga sp. RNAcentral describes it as "bacterial SSU rRNA". It matches the Rfam family "Bacterial small subunit ribosomal RNA", at positions 338 to 795 of the family's 1533-position model. The record is from RNAcentral. Lineage: Bacteria; Pseudomonadati; Pseudomonadota; Gammaproteobacteria; Chromatiales; Halothiobacillaceae.